This 447-nucleotide ribosomal RNA is filed under the name uncultured bacterium. RNAcentral describes it as "bacterial SSU rRNA". It matches the Rfam family "Bacterial small subunit ribosomal RNA", at positions 355 to 825 of the family's 1533-position model. The record is from RNAcentral.
UGGGGAAUCUUGGACAAUGGGCGCAAGCCUGAUCCAGCCAUGCCGCGUGGAUGAUGAAGGCCUUAGGGUUGUAAAAUCCUUUCGUGGGGGACGAUAAUGACGGUACCCCAAGAAGAAGCUCCGGCUAACUUCGUGCCAGCAGCCGCGGUAAUACGAAGGGGGCUAGCGUUGUUCGGAUUUACUGGGCGUAAAGCGCGUGUAGGCGGGUCGUUAAGUUGGGGGUGAAAUCCCGAGGCUCAACCUCGGAACUGCCUUCAAAACUGGCGACCUGGACCUAAGUAGAGGCAAGUGGAAUUGCGAGUGUAGAGGUGAAAUUCGUAGAUAUUCGCAGGAACACCAGUGGCGAAGGCGACUUGCUGGACUUAUGGUGACGCUGAGACGCGAAAGCGUGGGGAGCAAACAGGAUUAGAUACCCCAGUAGUCCCUGAGCGGGCUGGCAAGGCGCAU